AUGGCCAGACGGAGAGAGUCAACCAGUGCCUCGAAACUUUCCUCCGAUGCUUCACGCAAGCGUGUCCUCGUCGAUGGAGCUACUGGAUUCCACUUGCACAAUUCGGGUACAACUCGUCGCAUCACUCUGCCAUUGGGAUGUCACCGUAUCGUGCGAUGUAUGGGCAUGAGCCACGGCAAUGGGGGAUUACAACAACGACGGCUUGUUCAGUUCCGGCUCUUCACUCCUGGCUGGAUGAACGUGCCGUUGUGCAAGACCUGCUCCAACAGCAUCUGCACCGAGCAAGGCAGUGCAUGA
This 297-nucleotide ribosomal RNA is filed under the name Triticum aestivum (bread wheat). RNAcentral describes it as "partial small subunit ribosomal RNA". The record is from RNAcentral. Lineage: Eukaryota; Viridiplantae; Streptophyta; Magnoliopsida; Poales; Poaceae.